Long non-coding RNA from Xenia sp. Carnegie-2017, 1383 nucleotides. RefSeq lists it as uncharacterized. NCBI's taxonomy places the organism in Eukaryota, Metazoa, Cnidaria, Anthozoa, Malacalcyonacea, Xeniidae. The record is from RefSeq and is a predicted model, not a curated record. The transcript has 3 exons.
UCGUUUAUGAGAUAAAUGCGUUUCUUUUCUCAAAAUCGGCAAUAAUGGAGAAAAUUGUUGCGCGUCCAAUUUGCUUGAUGAGAGCCUGAAUCGAGAAGUAUGUGACGUAACAUAAGGACAGGAAGUUUUUCUGAAGUGUGACUUUUGCUAUAAUUUCUACUUUAUUUACUACGGCUCUGCAUCAAAAUGCCUGAUAGAUGUGCAGUUUUCGUCUGUUCAAACCGAGCAAAUUCUGCGGAAAGAAUUUCUCUUCACCGUAUACCAUUUUACGGUGAUGAGCGUCCUGAAGCGAAGCGAAGACGUAAAAUCUGGGUGAAUUUUGUUGCAAGAAAACGCGCUCAAUGGACACCGACUAAGUAUUCGGCUGUUUAUUAUUGUGAUGGCAAGGAAACUUGGGCAAAGUUCAAAUCUUUCCUGAGUCACAUAGUAGACAAGCACACCAAUUUGGAUAAUCCACUGUUUUCAAGUUGUUUUCAUGGCCCUGAUGUUAAACCAAGGGAAUAUUUGUUAGAAAGUUUGUGAAGGCAUUAUUUAAAGAUAACUUCCCUAACAGUUUAUCAUCAUUCUUUGUUGUAAUGUUUAAGGUUCAGUUGCUCAUGAAAAGCUUAGUGCUAAAUUGUUAAACCCACAGCUGAUGAAGUCAAUUCACCAGGCUUCACCAGUUGCUCAAACAAGUUGUUUGGAAAUAUUCCUUUCUGUCCUGAAUCAUUUUGCUCCAAAAAUGAUUCAUUAUUCCUAUGUUGGAAUGUAUUGCAGGUGGGCGAAAAUUUCCAAUAUGACAAUAGUAUGUGGAUGAAUUAUUUCAGAGUGUGAUGCUGUCAAUAAAAGACAAAGACGCAUUAUCAAAUUCACAAAAUCUUUUGAAAGAAAUGUCCCCACCACCAAUGAAUGUCAUGCUGCAAAAGCAACCCAGAGCUGAGGUGUUACUAAAACAGGUCCGUUGAAAAUGCUUUGUGGUCAAUGAUGUCCCUCCCUCAAUUCCAGCAGCUACCAGUGUGCCAUUCAGCUGUCAGUCAAAAGUGGCAGUUUCAAAAGAAAAGAGUCAGCCAAAAUGUUUGACAUGCAAGAAGCCAAUGAAAGGUCACAAACAUGUGGCAGAUUGCCCAAAAAAUAGGAAAACUUAAUUUUCACAUCACUCAUUUAUUUCAUUUUUUUCGUACUCUCUAAAUUCCAACUUUUUAUCAUUAAAUUUUGAUCUUAUUGCAUGGUAUGCACAUGCUGGUAAUGGUCUUCUUUCUUCUCCUAAGCAUCCAUAAAUCAUAGAUGUAAAUUCUCUGUAUGCAACACAUCGUAAAAACCUGAAUAUAAAGCCAAAUCAUUACUAAUGUGUCAUAACACUAAAAUAUACUUAAAUACUGGGAAAUAACAUAAUAUGCUAUCAUA